CAGGUCUUCGGAUGCUGACGAGUGGCGAACGGGUGAGUAAUACAUCGGAACGUGCCCGAUCGUGGGGGAUAACGAAGCGAAAGCUUUGCUAAUACCGCAUACGAUCUACGGAUGAAAGCAGGGGACCGCAAGGCCUUGCGCGAACGGAGCGGCCGAUGGCAGAUUAGGUAGUUGGUGGGAUAAAAGCUUACCAAGCCGACGAUCUGUAGCUGGUCUGAGAGGACGACCAGCCACACUGGGACUGAGACACGGCCCAGACUCCUACGGGAGGCAGCAGUGGGGAWUUUUGGACAWUGGGCGAAAGCCUGAUCCAGCCAUGCCGCGUGCAGGAUGAAGGCCUUCGGGUUGUAAACUGCUUUUGUACGGAACGAAAAGACUCUGGUUAAUACCUGGGGUCCAUGACGGUACCGUAAGAAUAAGCACCGGC
This 427-nucleotide ribosomal RNA is filed under the name Acidovorax sp. Sven24r. RNAcentral's name for it is "bacterial SSU rRNA". It matches the Rfam family "Bacterial small subunit ribosomal RNA", at positions 72 to 497 of the family's 1533-position model. The record is from RNAcentral. Lineage: Bacteria; Pseudomonadati; Pseudomonadota; Betaproteobacteria; Burkholderiales; Comamonadaceae.